UGGUGGAGUGAUUUGUCUGGUUAAUUCCGUUAACGAACGAGACCUCAGCUUGUUGGUUGUUUCGAGCUUUUCUUUUAGAAAAGUUUCGGAGGAUUGAGAAGGACUGUCGGUGUUUAGCCGAUGGAAGUUUGAGGCAAUAACA
RNAcentral lists this ribosomal RNA (142 nucleotides) under uncultured eukaryote. RNAcentral's name for it is "partial 18S ribosomal RNA". It matches the Rfam family "Eukaryotic small subunit ribosomal RNA", at positions 1299 to 1458 of the family's 1831-position model. The record is from RNAcentral.